GUCUGUGCAUUUUCCUGUGUGGGUUCCCCGAGUCUCCCUGCAGCUCCCUUUCAAAUCUAUUGUAUUUAGUUGUCUCCAGUUUAGACUGGAGACAGCUGGGAUCAACUGGCCAUUCCAGAAGAAUGAUUACCAGGCUGCUGAACGCUGCCUACCGAAGCCCUAUGCAGCGUCUAAGAACUCGUCCACAAACUCUAUCCGGUCCAGUGACUUUGUUGGGUUUGAUGUGGCUCAGGGGUCGCUUCAUUUCGUGGGUCCCUGUCGCCAAUGGAGAGUCUUCUUUAGGCUGGUUCAUAUCAUGGUUUUUUAUUACUCCUUCCAAGUACUCAGAUAUCAUCUCCAACAGUGAUCUGAAAUCUAAAGGACCUCCUGUUGUCUACCAACUGAG
Molecule: non-coding RNA, 385 nt
Organism: Maylandia zebra (zebra mbuna)
Lineage: Eukaryota; Metazoa; Chordata; Actinopteri; Cichliformes; Cichlidae
Source: RefSeq, a predicted model, not a curated record